GAGUUUGAUCCUGGCUCAGGAUCAACGCUGGCGGCGUGCCUAAUGCAUGCAAGUCGAGCGCGGGCCCUUUCGGGGGUGCUGCGCGGCGGACGGGUGCGUAACACGUGGGCAACCUGCCCUGGGGUGGGGGAUAGCCGUGGGAAACCGCGGGUAAUUCCGCAUACGAGCAUCUCUCGAGGGGAGAGGUGCUGAAAGGGAGCAAUCCCGCCCGAGGAGGGGCCUGCGGCCGAUUAGCUAGACGGUGGGGUAACGGCCUACCGUGGCGAUGAUCGGUAGCUGGUCUGAGAGGACGGCCAGCCACACGGGGACUGAGACACGGCCCCGACUCCUACGGGGGGCAGCAGCAAGGAAUCUUCCGCAAUGGGGGCAACCCUGACGGAGCAACGCCGCGUGGGGGAUGACGCGCUUCGGCGUGUAAACCCCUUUUCUUCGGGAAGAAGGGCUUCGGUCUUGACGGUACCGGAGGAAGAAGGACCGGCUAACUACGUGCCAGCAGCCGCGGUAAUACGUAGGGUCCAAGCGUUGUCCGGAGUUACUGGGCGUAAAGCGCGCGCAGGCGGCGGUGCUGGCCCGGCGUGAAAGCCCCCGGCUCAACCGGGGAGGGUCGUCGGGGACCGCACCGCUUGAGGGCGGUAGGGGCUGGUGGAAUGCCUGGUGUAGUGGUGAAAUGCGUAGAGAUCAGGCGGAACACCCGUGGCGAAGGCGGCCAGCUGGGCCGUCCCUGACGCUGAGGCGCGAAGGCGUGGGGAGCGAACGGGAUUAGAUACCCCGGUAGUCCACGCAGUAAACGAUGCAGACUAGGCGUGGGGGGAGUUGACCCCCUCCGUGCCGGAGCCAACGCGGGAAGUCUGCCGCCUGGGGAGUACGGCCGCAAGGCUAAAACUCAAAGGAAUUGACGGGGGCCCGCACAAGCGGCGGAGCGUGCGGUUUAAUUCGACGCGACGCGUAGAACCUUACCAAGGCUUGACAUGCGCCUGCAUCCUCCUGAAAGGGAGUGGCCUUCGAGGGUGGCGCACAGGUGCUGCAUGGCUGUCGUCAGCUCGUGCCGUGAGGUGUUGGGUUAAGUCCCGCAACGAGCGCAACCC
This 1085-nucleotide ribosomal RNA is filed under the name uncultured bacterium. RNAcentral's name for it is "bacterial SSU rRNA". It matches the Rfam family "Bacterial small subunit ribosomal RNA", at positions 9 to 1104 of the family's 1533-position model. The record is from RNAcentral.